Molecule: long non-coding RNA, 743 nt
Filed under: Junco hyemalis (dark-eyed junco)
Lineage: Eukaryota; Metazoa; Chordata; Aves; Passeriformes; Passerellidae
Description: lncRNA (ENSJHYG00000014837.1)
Source: RNAcentral
UGUGCUUGUGCCAGGCUGCUGCAGUAUGACCUGCUUGGUGAGUGCUUUGGAAAGCUGCUGCCUUGGCUCCCACGUGUGGUUCAUCUCCCAGCAAAGUAAAUUCUCCACCAUGUCACAUCACAUGAUGGCCAGGCAGCUUUGAAGCCCCGGCUCUCCAAGCGGCUUCCAGCGGACCAUGACGGGGAUCAAGCGCUCCGGUGUGAUUCCCCGUUCCAGCCACGCCGAGGAAGGAACGAAUCCAGUGGGCAGCAGAGCCGGAGGGGCCCGAGGCGGGGUGAGUCCCCCCAGAGGGGUCCGAGGCUGGGGUGAGUCCCCCCAGGGGCUGCGGGCACCGGGAGAAGCGGCCUCGGCCCCGCAGGACCCAGCGAGGCCCGGGCGAUGCUUUGGGGAGGCUUUGCCCCGGUUGUGCUCCGGUUCCAGCCCAGGAGCCGCGGGGCUCCCGCAGGGUUCGUGCUGGGUUUGUCUCCUGCUCUCGCCGCACCCUUGUUUGCUUUAAAUCACUUCAAAUGCGGAGGCUGUCAGACAAGACAAUUAACAUGGGGAAGGGGGAAAGUAUUACCAUCCAUUAUUUGCCAUAACAUGAAUUUAAGCCGGGAAGUCAAAUGAUAAAAUAUGUGGUGAAAAGUGUUGGUGGUGGGAGUGCCUAAAUGAGUAAUAGCCCUGGGCUUCUGAGCCUUGAACUUAACGUGCUAAGUAAAUCCCCGAGGUCAAAAAGUAUGAAAAUUGUUGCAGCUUGGGGAGAU